RNAcentral lists this ribosomal RNA (497 nucleotides) under uncultured bacterium. RNAcentral describes it as "partial 16S ribosomal RNA". It matches the Rfam family "Bacterial small subunit ribosomal RNA", at positions 28 to 507 of the family's 1533-position model. The record is from RNAcentral.
GACGAACGCUGGCGGCGUGCCUAAUACAUGCAAGUCGAACGAGAGCGACCGGUGCUUGCCCUGGUCAAUCUAGUGGCGAACGGGUGAGUAACACGUGGGUAACCUGCCCAUCAGAGGGGGAUAACAUCCGGAAACGGAUGCUAAACCGCAUAGGUCUUCGAGCCGCAUGGCUUGAAGAGGAAAAGAGGCGCAAGCUUCUGCUGAUGGAUGGACCCGCGGUGCAUUAGCUAGUUGGUGAGGUAACGGCUCACCAAGGCCGUGAUGCAUAGCCGACCUGAGAGGGUGAUCGGCCACAUUGGGACUGAGACACGGCCCAAACUCCUACGGGAGGCAGCAGUAGGGAAUCUUCCGCAAUGGACGCAAGUCUGACGGAGCAACGCCGCGUGAGUGAAGAAGGUUUUCGGAUCGUAAAACUCUGUUGUUAGAGAAGAACAAGUGCUAGAGUAACUGUUAGCGCCUUGACGGUAUCUAACCAGAAAGCCACGGCUAACUACGUG